CACAAGCAAUCUGAUCUCAUCUGAAAGAAGAGAAGCAGAUGUCUGACAACAGGCUUUAUCUGAAGAGGUGAGGAGUCGCUUACAAAGGGAGGAUUGUGCUAUGUCUUCGGAGGUGUGUGGUUUAGCACCCCACUUCAUCUUCUCGUGGAGUACCUGUGCUUUUCCUUUGUCUGCUGCAGGUUUACUUUCACUGUAGUGCAUCAGCCUGUGUCUCAGCUACUAUGAAUCC
Non-coding RNA from Coturnix japonica (Japanese quail), 229 nucleotides. Lineage: Eukaryota; Metazoa; Chordata; Aves; Galliformes; Phasianidae. The record is from RefSeq and is a predicted model, not a curated record.